UACGUAGGGAGCAAGCGUUGUCCGGAAUCAUUGGGCGUAGAGAGCGCGUAGGUGGCUGUAUAAGUCCGUUGUGAAAGUCAAAGGCUCAACCUUUGAAAGCCGAUGGAUACUGUAGAGCUAGAGUACGGAAGAGGCGAGUGGAAUUCCUGGUGUAGCGGUGGAAUGCGCAGAUAUCAGGAGGAACACCAAUAGCGAAGGCAGCUCGCUGGGACGUUACUGACACUGAGGCGCGAAAGCGUGGGGAGCGAACAGG
This 253-nucleotide ribosomal RNA is filed under the name uncultured bacterium. RNAcentral describes it as "partial 16S ribosomal RNA". It matches the Rfam family "Bacterial small subunit ribosomal RNA", at positions 524 to 776 of the family's 1533-position model. The record is from RNAcentral.